GGGGGCGCACUGGUUUCGACGGGGUCGUGGAGACUGGGAAAGCGGGUAGAGGAUUCUCGUUGGCCUCUUUAAAAAACGAGAAAUGCAAGUAAUUGCAAACAAUACACAACUCGUAGCUGCUUAAUUUAGCUACCUUCUCCCCGAUCUAUCUGUCGGUCGGACCGGAGAAGUCAGAUGACAGACCUUACCUGCCGGCAGGUUAAACAGGACCACGGUCUCGGCAAAGCUUUGCGCCGGGAACGUACUUAUGAAGCUACCGGAGAGCAUAUCCUGUCCGUGGGGUCAUGCUUAAGGGGAAUACUCCAAUCACGGACUGCACCCGGAGAUGUCCUUGUUGACGUGGUUUCGGACAGGAGUUCGAUUCUCCUCGCCUCCACCA
This 379-nucleotide transfer-messenger RNA is filed under the name Clostridiales bacterium. It matches the Rfam family "transfer-messenger RNA". From Rfam's summary of the family: Bacterial tmRNA, also known as 10Sa RNA or SsrA, is named for its dual tRNA and mRNA-like properties. Its role is to liberate the mRNA from a stalled ribosome. RNAcentral also lists the same sequence under 1 other name. Lineage: Bacteria; Bacillati; Bacillota; Clostridia; Eubacteriales. The record is from RNAcentral.